Long non-coding RNA from Meriones unguiculatus (Mongolian gerbil), 646 nucleotides. RefSeq lists it as uncharacterized. Lineage: Eukaryota; Metazoa; Chordata; Mammalia; Rodentia; Muridae. The transcript is spliced from 3 exons. The record is from RefSeq and is a predicted model, not a curated record.
UACCUGUGCUGAGAGCUUGGACAGCGUUUCCAUAGGCUCACUGUCAAGUGGCAGUUAAAAGUCCCCUUCACUGAGAAGCAAAGAACACUGCCUGGUGGAUUAUGUGUGAGAGAUUGUUCAAACCUUCCUUCUGUGGAUUGGUGCUCCUCAACCCACAGUUGUACAGUGGUUGGCUGCAGCUUCACCAACGAGCUGCUUCGACCUCAGCUGCACUCACGACCUCUUCAUGCCUUCAAAAUCAGUACAACCUGGGAGAUUCAUGUUGACCAAAGUUCAGCUGUCAGCAUGAGAUGCCAUCUCUAUCACAGCUCCUGUGUGCUAAACGUGAGGAAAGACUUCUCUGAAGAUUUGUCCUCAGUGAUGCUGGUCCUUUCUUAGUCGCAGCUUUAUUUUUUUGACUCAGGUGGCUGGUUUCUAUUGUCCCCGAAAAGCAAGGGUAGUUUUUAAUUUAAAAUAUUGGGUGUCAGGGAACAGGGACUAUUUCUGACAGGAACUCAAUGGCAGGCUCUUUGACUUCCCCACCCCCCAAGGGAGGAACAGCCCUGCUAGGCCACAGAGGAGGACUUUGCAGCCAGCCCUGAAGAUACCUGAUAAAAUAGGGCCAGAUGAAAGGGGAGGAGCUCCUCCCCAAUCCGUGGACUUGGAA